AACUUUAAAGCUAUACAGCAUUUCAUUUACACUGAAAAGAUAGAAAUAGUAUACUAAUUGAAUUGU
RNAcentral lists this transfer RNA (66 nucleotides) under Argiope ocula. RNAcentral's name for it is "tRNA-Val". Lineage: Eukaryota; Metazoa; Arthropoda; Arachnida; Araneae; Araneidae. The record is from RNAcentral.